CUUGGUCAUUUAGAGGAAGUAAAAGUCGUAACAAGGUUUCCGUAGGUGAACCUGCGGAAGGAUCAUUACCUAGAGUUUGUAGACUUCGGUCUGCUACCUCUUACCCAUGUCUUUUGAGUACCUUCGUUUCCUCGGCGGGUCCGCCCGCCGAUUGGACAACAUUCAAACCCUUUGCAGUUGCAAUCAGCGUCUGAAAAAACAUAAUAGUUACAACUUUCAACAACGGAUCUCUUGGUUCUGGCAUCGAUGAAGAACGCAGCGAAAUGCGAUAAGUAGUGUGAAUUGCAGAAUUCAGUGAAUCAUCGAAUCUUUGAACGCACAUUGCGCCCCUUGGUAUUCCAUGGGGCAUGCCUGUUCGAGCGUCAUUUGUACCUUCAAGCUCUGCUUGGUGUUGGGUGUUUGUCUCGCCUCUGCGUGUAGACUCGCCUUAAAACAAUUGGCAGCCGGCGUAUUGAUUUCGGAGCGCAGUACAUCUCGCGCUUUGCACUCAUAACGACGACGUCCAAAAGUACAUUUUUACAUGAUUGACCUCGGAUCAGGUAGGGAUACCCGCUGAACUUAAGCAUAUCAAUAAGCGGAGGAAAAGAAACCAACAGGGAUUGCCCUAGUAACGGCGAGUGAAGCGGCAACAGCUCAAAUUUGAAAUCUGGCGUCUUUGGCGUCCGAGUUGUAAUUUGCAGAGGGCGCUUUGGCAUUGGCAGCGGUCCAAGUUCCUUGGAACAGGACGUCACAGAGGGUGAGAAUCCCGUACGUGGUCGCUAGCCUUUACCGUGUAAAGCCCCUUCGACGAGUCGAGUUGUUUGGGAAU
This 808-nucleotide small RNA is filed under the name uncultured Psiloglonium. RNAcentral's name for it is "eukaryotic LSU rRNA". The stretch from base 526 to 808 matches the Rfam family "Eukaryotic large subunit ribosomal RNA", at positions 1 to 281 of the family's 3401-position model. Lineage: Eukaryota; Fungi; Ascomycota; Dothideomycetes; Hysteriales; Hysteriaceae. The record is from RNAcentral.